CCUUCCGUCCGUGACGCCUCCGCGCGCGGUCGCGAGCGUGGCGGAAGGAGACGAGGUCUGCACGUCCUCCCGGAAGCUGUGGAGACGUUGACUCCGCCGCGGCCCGGGCCGCUCGGCGCCUCCCGCUUCCACGGCCGCGGAGGCCAAGCCUGGAGCUCUUGUUCUGGUCCUGCGGACGGUUCAGCCCGGGCACCGGCACCCCUUGCGCACGACAGCCGGUCCCGGGGUUGCACUCUACUCCCUGGAGCACGGAGCGGCGGCGGGGCUUGGUGAGCGCCGUUCAUCCCCCAUCGCACGUGCCCGGGGUCAGCAGUCUGCAGAAAACACAGAAACUGGACAACUGAAGACAGUCAAGAUCCGAAGUGGAAAGUGAAAAAAAAAAAAAAGAAAGAAAAAAAGACUUGAACAGGAAGGGAGAAAGCAGGGAUCCUUGUCAGAGGAUGCUUAACCGUAAAAUGGAAAUGCACAGUCAAAAUAUCUUUUCGGGUGGUGAGAAAAGAGAGACAAAUGAGCUCUCCAGGGCUUCCGGGUGCUGCAAUGAACUCCAGAUGCAUGUGCCACUUUGUGCAUCUGGCUUUAUGUGGGUCCUGGGGAAUAAAACUGAGAUCAUUAGGCUUUGCAGGUAAGAGCCUUAAGUGCUGAGCCAUCUCUUCAGCUCAUCGCCUACAUUUGCUUUUUGUUUUGUCACAGCAAGUUUUAGCAGCAAGCAAAAUUUGCAGGAGACCACACUGAGUUUGUAGAUGCCCACCCUUUUCUCAUUGACACGAACUUUCUCUAACAACACAGUAAGAAUAUAAGUUCAUUGGAAGAAGUUAAAAACUCAUGGAGAGAGCCGAGCGUGGUGGUGCACGCCCUUAAUUCCAGUGCUCGGGAGGCAGAGGUAGGAAGAUCGUCAUGAAUUUGAGGCCACCCUGAGAUACAGAGUUAAUUCCAGGUCAGCCUGAGCUAGAGUGAGACUCUACCUUUAAAAACAAACAAACAACAAAAAAAAAAAAAAAACACAACAACAUGGAGAAUCACCAAAGAUGUGAUUACUAUGAAUAUCUCACUGAAGAAAAUAAAAAUGACUGAACUUGGGCAUUUCA
Molecule: long non-coding RNA, 1085 nt
Organism: Jaculus jaculus (lesser Egyptian jerboa)
Lineage: Eukaryota; Metazoa; Chordata; Mammalia; Rodentia; Dipodidae
Exons: 2
Source: RefSeq, a predicted model, not a curated record